This 4587-nucleotide ribosomal RNA is filed under the name Triticum aestivum (bread wheat). Its description in RNAcentral is "partial small subunit ribosomal RNA". The record is from RNAcentral. Lineage: Eukaryota; Viridiplantae; Streptophyta; Magnoliopsida; Poales; Poaceae.
AUGACGAAAUUUCCGCAUCUCGCUUCUACUGCAGGAACAAAGAGGCGCAGACCUAAGCUUCAUAAGACGGAAGAUGAGACCGAGGAUGACAACAAUAUUAAUAAAGAGAACAACGGUACCACUAACAAUGGUCAUGACACCAUUGUCUCCAAGAGACCAAAGAGAACAGCUGCCUGUUCUAAUUUCAAACAGAAGGCAGUUGACUUGUCUGAAGAAGAUAUGCUUGUCACAAUCAAGGAAAUUCGGAUUGAAGAGGAAACAGAGGCUGUUAGGUUGACAAAAACAGGGCCUGAAGAUAAGAAACCUCGCAGAAAACUCUGUGAUUUCAUCCUGCAUGAUGGAGAUGGUAAUCCGCAACCUUUUGAAAUGUCUCGAAGUGAUGGUAUCUCCAUAACAGCUGUUGUCAUGCCCUUUGACGCUGAUAUGAAAAAGCCCAGGGAAAAGGGAAUACGCUGUGAGAGAUUUGGGCCAAUCAAGGACUGGGCAAUUUCUGGCUAUAAAGAAAAAACUGUGAUAAUUUGGCUCUCAACAGAACUAGCUGAUUAUGAAUGCGUGAAGCCAGCAAGUAGUUACCGGUCUUUUUUUGAUCUUUUCAGUCAGAAGGCCCAUAUCUGUGUUGAAGUUUACAGAAAGCUAGUCAGGUCAGUUGGCGGAAAUCCUUUGCUGGGUCUGGAAGAGUUGCUUGCUAGUGUUGUACGUUCCAUUAAUUCAGAGAGAAGUUUCAAUGGAACAGUGAGAAAGGACUUUGUAAUCUCAAUUGGUGAGUUUAUCCAUAACCAGCUUACUGCAUUGGACCAUACAGCAAACAACGAUGAUGAGAUACUGUCCACACUGCCUGCUCUUGUUGCCCUAAGAAAUGGAUGUAAAUCUAGGGUGGAAUUCAGCAGGUUGGCAGCUAUGACCUCAGAUGGAACUCUGACGAUCAAGGAUGGGCAGUGUAAGGAGGCGACUGAAAACGAGGAUGAAGAUGAGAAAUUAGCAAGACUGUUGCAGGAUGAGGAAGAGUGGAAGAUGAACAAGAAGCAGAGAGGCAAGCAUGAGAAUUCACAGAAAAAUGUCUAUAUCAAGAUUAGUGAAACAGAGAUCGCGAAUGACUACCCAAUGCCAGCAUACUAUAAACCAUCUAGCGUAGAAAUGGAUGAGUACAUGCUUGACAGCGAAGAUGCCAUGCUUGUGGAGGAACUGCCAACAAGAAUACUCAACAAUUGGGCUCUGUAUAAUUCAGAUGCCAGACUUAUCCCUUUGGAGCUCAUUCCUAUGAAGGCAGGUGCUGAAAAUGACAUAGUGAUCUUUGGGUCUGGUUUUAUGAGAGAAGAUGAUCAUAACUUCUGUUCAACAGCCGAGUCAACACAGUCAUCUUCUUCCUCAAGUAAAUCUGACCAGGAAGAUAAAGGGAUUGCAGUUUAUCUAAGUCCAAUCAAGGAAUGGGUUGUAGAAUUUGGUGGUGAAAUGAUCUGCAUAUUAAUUCGAACUGACAUAGCUUGGUACAAAUUACGCCAGCCAACAAAGCAGUAUGCGCCAUGGUGUGACACUGUCCUUAAAACAGCAAGGCUGGCUGUCAGUGUCAUCGCCCUUCUAAAAGAACAAACUCGCGCUUCCAAACUUGCUUUCGCUGAUGUUGUUAAGAGAGUAGCCGAAUUUGAGAAAGGGCACUGUGCAUUUAUUUCAACAAAUGCAGCGCUUGUUGAAAGAUAUGUUGUGGUGCAUGGACAGAUAAUUCUUCAGCAGUUUGCAAGUUAUCCAGAAAGGACUAUUCAACAAAGUGCCUUCAUCACUGGACUUCUUGCAAAGAUGGAAGAACGAAGGCACAUAAAACUAGCGAUGAAGAAAAAAAAUCAGGCAACAAGGGGAGAGAAUCUGAACCCAAGUGCAAAUAUGGGCCCAAUACUUAAAAGAAAACUUAUGCGUGCGACAACUACAGGGUUGAUCAGCAAGAUAUGGAGUGAUUACUAUGCAACUCAUUUCCCAGAGGAUUCCAAGGAGGGAGAUGAGAAUGAUGACCAGAAGGAAAUUGAGGAGGAACAGGAAGAGAAUGAAGAUGAUGAUGCUGAGGUGGAGGUUAAAGUUGACGAGGAAGCUGUUUUUAGGACCCCACCAUCAACGAGGUCUAAAAAGUCAUCAACAAAUGCUUGUAAAGAAAUUGAAUGGGAGGGCCAAACAGUUGGGAAAACACUCUCUGGAGAAGUUCUGUACAAAUGUGCUAGAGUUCGAGAUCUCAGUAUUGCUGUUGGUGGGGCAGUCACACUAGAAGAUGAUUCAGGAGAAACCAUCAUGUGUUUUGUUGAGUAUAUGCAUGAGAAACAUGAUGGUACACAAAUGAUCCAUGGAAGAAUUCUGCAAAAGGGUUCACACACUGUCCUUGGCAAUGCUGCAAAUGAACGAGAGGUUUUCUUUACUAAUGGUUGUUUGGAAUUCGAAACAAGUGACAUCAAGGAAUCAGUGUCCGUCAAUUUUCAGCAGGUUCCUUGGGGCCACAAGUGCAGAAAGGAGCAUUUAGAAGCUAUUAAGAUGGAGAGGGCCAAGGCAGAGGACAGGAAGAGGAAAGGUUUGCCUGUGGAGUAUAUCUGCAAAAGCUUAUACUGUCCUGAGAAAGGUGCCUUUUUCUCCCUCCCUUCUGAUAAACUGGGCACUGGAACUGGCCGCUGUAGUUCUUGUGAGGAGCGAGAAGCAGUUGGUGAUGAAUUCAAGAUAUUAUCAGAGACCAGCUUUGUCCUCAAGAAUGUUACAUACAGUGUUCAUGACUUUCUGUACAUCAGGCCUGAGUUUUUCUCUGAAGUCGAGGGUCAGGGGACCUACAAGGCUGGAAGAAAUGUAGGCCUGAAGCCUUAUGUGGUGUGUCACCUGCAGAGUAUCAAAGCUUCUGCUGGAUCGAAGAAAGCUAAUCCAGAAUCAACCAAAGUCAGUGUAAGAAGGUUAUACAGGCCAGAUGAUAUUUCAUCAGCUAAAGCUUACUCUUCAGACAUCAGAGAGGUUUACUACAGUGAAGAUGUAGUGAGUGUGCCAGUUGUGAUGAUAGAGGGGAAAUGUGAGGUUACAGCAAAGAACGACCUUCCAAACCCAAAUCUUCCAGUAGUGGUUGAUCAUGCCUUUUACUGUGAAUAUCUUUAUGACCCUAAGACUGGAGCUCUCAAGCAGCUACCGACCAAUGUUAAGCUCACGAUCCUGACAAGGAAGGCACAGGCUGUAAAAAAGAAUAAAGGAAAGCAGAUUUGUGACGUUUUGCAAGCUGAUUCUGACAAACAGAAGAAUGUGACACCAGAAAACUGUCUUGCAACCCUUGAUAUUUUUGCUGGCUGUGGAGGUUUGUCUGAAGGGUUGCAGCUAUCUGGCGCAUCACGUACAAAAUGGGCAAUUGAAUAUGAAGAACCUGCUGGGGAUGCAUUUGGUGAAAAUCAUCCAGAGGCAGUGGUAUUUGUGGAGAACUGCAAUGUGAUUCUGAAGGCAAUAAUGGACAAGUGUGGUGAUGUUGAUGAUUGCAUCUCAAUUACCGAGGCUUCUGAACGGGCAGCUAAACUUUCAGAUGAAAAGAUUAAAAAUCUCCCUGUGCCAGGUGAAGUAGAGUUCAUCAAUGGUGGCCCUCCAUGCCAGGGGUUCUCUGGAAUGAACAGAUUCAACCAAAGUCCAUGGAGCAAAGUUCAGUGUGAGAUGAUUUUGGCAUUCCUGUCCUUUGCGGAGUAUUUCCGGCCUAGGUUCUUCCUUUUGGAAAAUGUUAGGAACUUUGUUUCAUUCAACAAAGGCCAGACCUUCAGACUGACACUAGCAUCACUGCUGGAGAUGGGAUACCAGGUUCGAUUUGGGAUUUUAGAGGCAGGUGCUUAUGGUGUUGCACAGUCCAGGAAAAGGGCAUUCAUCUGGGCUGCUGCACCUGGGGAGACCCUUCCUGAUUGGCCUGAACCGAUGCAUGUCUUCUCCAGCCCUGAGCUGAAAAUCAAUCUACCAGAAGGGAAAUACUAUGCCGCUGCUAAGAGCACUGCUGGAGGGGCUCCUUUCCGCUCUAUAACAGUCAGGGAUACAAUUGGUGAUCUGCCGCCGGUGGAGAAUGGUGCCAGCAAACCAACAAUACCGUAUGCAAGUGAGCCUGUCUCCUGGUUCCAGAAGAAGAUUCGAGGUGAUGCAUCUUCGCUGAGUGAUCACAUAGCUAAAGAAAUGAAUGAGCUCAAUCUCAUAAGGUGCAAGCACAUCCCGAAGCGCCCUGGCUGUGACUGGCAUGACCUCCCAGAUGAGAAGGUGAAGCUAUCUACAGGGCAAACGGUGGAGUUGAUCCCUUGGUGCUUGCCGAACACGGCCAAGAGGCACAACCAGUGGAAAGGCUUGUACGGGAGGUUGGAUUGGGAGGGCAACUUCCCCACAUCUGUGACAGAUCCCCAGCCAAUGGGCAAGGUCGGCAUGUGCUUCCACCCUGAUCAGGACAGGAUCAUCACUGUUCGUGAGUGCGCCCGAUCCCAGGGCUUCCCUGAUGGAUACCAUUUCGCUGGCAACAUCCAGAGCAAGCACCGGCAGAUCGGGAACGCUGUGCCGCCUCCCCUCUCCUACAUGCUAGGGAGGAAGCUCAAGCAAGCCAUCGACGGCAAGCCUCGACUGGCUUAA